Molecule: long non-coding RNA, 1076 nt
Filed under: Chloebia gouldiae (Gouldian finch)
Lineage: Eukaryota; Metazoa; Chordata; Aves; Passeriformes; Passeridae
Description: Erythrura gouldiae (Gouldian finch) lncRNA (ENSEGOG00005011833.1)
Source: RNAcentral
CCCCGCGGUCCCCGCAGCCCCGCUCCCUGCCGGGUGCCGCGGUCGAGCCUUGAGCACCUCCACAAGUCGCCGGGAAUGGCUCCUGUCACUGCUGCUGGAGGCCGCUGCAGCACCUCCGCCUGCCCGGCUUUGUGUUCAGCCGGGACUUGGGGCUCGGCCCCGGAGCCACCGCGCCUCAUUGCCUAACACAGCCUGACAUGCAAGCAGAGAGAGGACAUCAGCAUCCACCACCUUCACCCUGCAGCCCCCGGAAUGACCUUCAAACAACUGGGAGCAGCUCCCACCGGCCUUGGCCGCGGGCUCUCCAGGCUCACACCCUGCGUUCGACAGCACGACCAGGAGCGGAUCACAGAAACCCUGGGGAAGCCGAGGCCGGAUGGACGCAGUGAGAUCGUACACAGGGUGAGUGUGUCAGACACAGCUUCUGCUUCAAAUGAUGGACUGCACCAGCAGGAGGGAGGAGUAGUUAACAGUUACUAACACUAGAAUAAUCAAAUUUGUAUGUUAUACAUAUACAGCAACUAACUGCUUUACAAAAAAAGCAAAAUAAUACAAUAUAUUGUCACAUGUAUUUACAGUGUAGUAAAUAUACUUUUCUGUCAAAUUUUACACAAAAACUAUUUACAGGUGAAUAUACUGCAUAAAAAAAAAGGUGGGACCAACACUCUGAGUGACUGUCUGUGGUUUGUUGCAUAACAAUAGGACGUGCUUUGUGACUUCGGAAAAAAUUAACCUUAGAAUGAAACAGAAAAAGCCCUAAAACCUACAACCCGGGCCAGAGCCAGCCCCGGCACGCACCGGGGGCUCAGCCCACGAGACUCAGUGAAAUGUUCCCUGUCCUGGGAAACCUCAUGCACGGUAAAGCAGAAACAUCGGCAUCAUUACAGGUAGGUUAUGCACUAUUCAAAUACUACUGAGUUAUCUCUAAGUCAGGGAAAGUACAAACACAAACAGAAUGUUAAUUGUCUUUACAGUACUGAGCUGUGGUCAGUGUGGGGCAGGGAACGGGCUCUGAGCCAGGGGUCACACACGCUCCCCGGGAGGGUGUUACAUGGUCCACGUGUUCCAGUGGGAUU